GACGAACGCUGGCGGCGCGCUUAACACAUGCAAGUCGAACGGAAAGGCCUGCUUUCCCUUGUGGAUUGCGGGUACUCGAGUGGCGAACGGGUGAGUAACACGUGAGUGAUCUGCCCCCAACUUGGGUAUAAGCCUGGGAAACUGGGUCUAAUUCCCGAUAGGACUGCAGGGUGGUGCCUGUGGUGGAAAACGAUUUUCUAGUGGUUGGGGAUGAGCUCGCGGCCUAUCAGCUUGUUGGUGGGGUAAUGGCCUACCAAGGCGGCGACGGGUAGCCGGCCUGAGAGGGUGGACGGCCACAUUGGGACUGAGAUACGGCCCAGACUCCUACGGGAGGCAGCAGUGGGGAAUAUUGCACAAUGGGCGGAAGCCUGAUGCAGCGACGCCGCGGGGGGGAUGACGGCCUUCGGGUUGUAAACUCCUUUCGACCGCGAGGAAGCCACCUGGUUGGAAGGGUGGUGACGGUAGUGGGAGAAGAAGCACCGGCUAACUACGUG
Molecule: ribosomal RNA, 494 nt
Filed under: uncultured bacterium
Lineage: Bacteria
Description: partial 16S ribosomal RNA
Rfam family: Bacterial small subunit ribosomal RNA
Source: RNAcentral